CUGAAAAGCAGGAGCCAACUGCAUGAGCACAUAUGAGUUGGAGCUCUCGGCAACAAAUGAAGCGGAAAAAGAAGUCAAACUUGAAUGAAAAGCCUUCGUGAAGCUCGCCACUGAACCAUGAGCAAGGAAGGCUUCCAGUUUAAAGAGAGGCUCAUGAUGGUAGAAGGCUUUACAAGCUCAGCCUGAACACCUGGAGAAAUUAUGUCCAGGAGGAAAGACAUUGGUGCUGCAGGCUUUAAAAAGAACAUUGAUGAAUAUAUGAGGAAUAGCUGAGGAUGUGCCGAAUUGUGAAAAUUUCUGCCUAGAAGCACAAAAUCAUGAAAAGUUGUCCUGAUUGCAGGUGGCGUAAAAGUCAGAGACUCACUCUAGCAUGAGACAUGUGAUAGAAUAAUCUGUCAGCAAACAGGCUUUCUCUAGGCAAGAAGUGGGUCUAUGGCAGUUACUUUCCACUUGCCCCUGCAGACUCUCUCUCCACCUUUCUCCACCCUGGUGGCCUGCUGACAUCCCCCCAAGGUAACUGACUUUUAGGGACUGCCUCCGUGGCUUCUCUUCCCUGUGGCUUCCAGUUGGAUACAAGUCCAGUUCACCCAAUAAGAGGUACCAGCAGGAGGUCAGAGGCAAGGAAGAGAAAGGCAUCAGUUCUCUCUCUGCUAGGUCAUAAGUUGGCAGUGUCUCAUUUUCUUUUCUAUAGCGUUGGCUAUGGCUCUCUCUGGGUCCUGGUAAACUUUCCCUCUCCUUCCUCUAAUGGCUUCCUGCUGUUGCUGGCUAUCAUGUGCUUCCUUGUGCCUGUUGGCUUCCCACAUCUUACAAAUAGUUCCUUUAUUAAAGUCUCCUCAAUUACCCAUUAGAAUGUAAUAUCUUUUAUUCUAAUAUAGGACUAAUAUAGGUGCCCAGAGAUACUUUUCUCUCAUUGCCUGGGGCUACAGUAGUAACCAUAAGGGCAUUAGGGAGCUUUACAACCCUCCUCCUACCCUCAUAAUUUCCACAGAGCCUCCCCUUCUUUGACAAUUGAUGUUAUCUCAACAAAGUAUAAAGGAUUCUAUAAAUGAGAAUUCAAUACCCUCUCCUUUUCAACAAGAUGACCCCUGCCCAACCCACCCCCCACAUAUAAACCAGCUCAUCUAUAUAAAAAUCUGGCUCUAUACCCAGGCUUAACAGGAUUAGCCAUGUCUGCACAGACAAAAUUAUCUGCUUUCCCUGCCAAUGCUCUUAGGCCAAUGUAAUCAGGUUAAAAUUUUCAUCAAAGUCAGUAUUGAAGGAGAGAAGAAAUCAUAAUAUAUGCAACGUAAAAUAAGUUAACACAAUAGUAUACUGAGUGAGGUUUUAAUUGUCGAUCCAUAAGAGGUGUCAAAGAACCCACAUUGUAAAGGGGGUUUCAAGUAAUUGGAACCAGAAGUUUCUGCCAGGUCUGGUACUUUGCAACCUCUUCUUAACCACAGCUCCUUCAGACCUCAGUCUAUAUAAACAGAAGACUAGAAAUUGAGGAGAGGAAAAAAGAUACAAUUGUUAGAAUCACUAGUUGUCGACUUUAAAGGAGAGUGCUGGCCAUUUGCCACCCAUCUUUGAACAAAAUGUGGAGUACAGGAAGUGCUUAUACCUCUCCAAAGGAAAAUGAAAGAAAGUUGAAGUGAAUCGUCUACAAACAUUGACGGACCUUCAAGAAGAAAAGAACAUCAUCUCAUUUACCAUUAUACAGACAUCACUUUUAAUAGUUAUUUAGAUCAACAGACUGGCUGGUCUUCCCUUUUCAGAAGGGGGGUGGGGUUGGGGGAAUAAAGGAAGACAACAAGAAAGUCAAAGGAAAGGAAUAUGAACAGCCUGCCCUCAGACCCAUGCUGGAACUAUCUUACUGGAAUCCCACUUGAGAAGACUGGCUGCUUGGGAGUUGCUCCAACACCAGGAGUCUGUGGGGUUUACUGCUGGGGUCAAGAGCUGGAAAGGAGUUGGCAAACAGCAGGGCUAUAGCAGAAUUCCUAUACAGGCAACUGUGCAGUGAGAAACACCCUUCUCCCACUCACAGCCCCCUGAAGAGCCCAUCCCUGUGCCCUGUAGAGCCGGCAGAUCAGCGUCAGUUCCAGAGAGUGUAUCAAGUUGCUGUCAGUGUUACCCAAAGAAGAGGAAAUAAUGGAAGGAUUAUAUCUAUGGCCAGAUAAAUAAGACAGCCAUGUCCCAUCUGUAUCCGCCUCCCUAAUGCAACACAAGAACCAGAAAAGUAAAAGAAUGAUUCAAAAUAAGAGGCCACUGUCCCUGCCCACUGCAGGGCCCUCCAGCCUAGUGGGAGGAGGAUAGAAGAGGAAACAAACAUCAAGUAGGAUAUGAGUUGUAUGCAUUAAAGAGGACUUCAUGAAAAUUGAAAGUGACCACAAAGCAAUGAAAUGCACUCAAAAUCACUAAAGAACAAAGAAAAUUUUACAGAGAAUAUUUGAAGGUGGUGAUUGAAGCAAAAAAUUAAACUGAAUUGAGGUUGAUCAAGUUUGUGAACUCUUUGUACAUAUAUGAGAUUGUUCAUUUUCAGAACUACCUGGAGAAGCUUUCUUUCUUCUUUUGUCCUCCCUUUCCAAGCUGAAAGCCAAAUUAACUGUUCAGUCACAGGAAAAUACCUCACCCUCACCUCAGUGUUCACCCUUCCCCAGCCUAAAGCAUGGCUGGUGCCAGCUUAUUCAAGAAUUAGAAAAUGGUGCCCCCGCUGGGCAGAUGCAGCCCCAUAGGCAUGCACCCAACUGGGCAGCACAAUGUUGCUAUCCCUAUGGCCUCACCCCUUUGAAUGGCUUUCUUUUCAAUAUCAUAGACUCUAAUAAAGACAUGUGGAUAGAAUUCAAAGCCUGUGGGAACUUGAUCUUCUGUCAACCUUCAUCCACGUAAGGUCAUCCACAGAGUCACAUAUGAAACUGUGGAGUCUCAUAUUUUUAAUUCCUUUAAAGACACGAGAUCCCCUUCCUCACCAACUUGCUUUCCCUUCUCUUCUAGUGAGCUCUCCCUAAUGACAUGUUGAAAUAUAUUCAGUAGUUGCAGUCUAUUUCCUAGUUCUAAAUGUGUUUAGUUGAAACAACUCAAUCUUAGAUUUUUAGUUGAUGUUUAGUGUCAGAAAGAUGUUUCAAAGGAAGUGUAAGUCUAAGAUCAUUUUUAAUAUUCCUCAGUGGCAUCUCACUAAUCAGUAAAUUCCAAAUCCUCCCAAAAGUCUAGAGGUUCUACUGGCUUCUAAUCAAAACAAGAAACUAGGGAGGAGUACAAUAAGCUCAUAUUGCAAAAGCUUCUUCAUUCCUUGGUAUUCACCUUAUGGCAGUUUACAUAUACUGAAGCAUUUACUAUAAACAUUGGGAACUAAAUUAUUAAAAAAUGAAAAAUAUUUUAUUUUAUGAAGCAGCAACUAUACUGUCUUUACUUGUAUUUUUAUUCCACUUCUUUCUGAUGUAGGGGUCUGAUUCUUUUCACCAUUCGUUAAAAAUAAUGAGCUUUGGUAGAGAGCAACUUUGGAAAGGUGCCCCAUAUAUUUUAUCAAGAAAUGAAAAUCUACCACUACUUACUCCAAACAGCACAUGUAAGGGAAAUGUGAGAUAUUUUCAGUUUGAGGGUAUUUUGGAGCCAUAAUAAAUAUCAUAAACCAAUUACUUAAUUUUAUUUGCAGUGCAAUGAAGUGACAGUAAGCCAACAUCACUACAUGUGCCAUUGUAUUCUGAAGGAUAUUUUAAGAGACUUUAUGCCCAGUGGAACUACAAGGAAAUGUUCCACAGCUUGUGCAAUUUAGUCAGCUAAGCUCUCCCACAUUUUAUGUCUCCUAAUCCAUCCAAGAUAUUAAUGUGUUUAUUGGCUACGUGUGAAUGAAUUUUUCCAAAAAUCCACUAACCAAGGAAACUAUAGGUUUCCAUUCUUUUUUUUGUUCCUUGUGGUUAGAAUUUCCCACUGUUGAAUUUUGAUGAUUGUAUCACUGCGGUGUCAUUUAACAUUUUCCUCUGUUCCAUGUAAAAAAGUACUUAGAGCUUGAAUAUGUUUUUGUUUUUGUUUUUGUUUGUAAGAAUAGUUACAAGUGAUGCUAUGUGCUUCUGUCAGUAGGGAAAUAAUUUUGAGUUGUCUCUCUUUUUGUGAUGUUGCAACUAUUGAUGAUCAUUGUUAAGAUCCAUUAAUAAACUAGCAUUUUGACAA
This is a long non-coding RNA of Homo sapiens (human), 4140 nucleotides long. RefSeq lists it as uncharacterized. The transcript has 3 exons. The record is from RefSeq and is a predicted model, not a curated record. NCBI's taxonomy places the organism in Eukaryota, Metazoa, Chordata, Mammalia, Primates, Hominidae.